Molecule: transfer RNA, 74 nt
Filed under: Deltaproteobacteria bacterium
Lineage: Bacteria; Pseudomonadati; Myxococcota; Myxococcia
Also listed under: 1 other name
Description: tRNA-Arg
Rfam family: tRNA
About the family: Transfer RNA (tRNA) molecules are approximately 80 nucleotides in length.
Source: RNAcentral
GCAUCCGUAGCUCAAUUGGAUAGAGCACUGGGCUUCGAACCCAGGGGUUGGGGGUUCGAGUCCCUCCGGGUGCG